AACGCACCUUGCGCUCUUUGGUAUUCCGAGGAGCAUACCUGUUUGAGUGUCAUUAAAUUUGUUUUUUCAACCUUAUUUCUUCCUGAAGUGAGGCUUGGAUUUGCUGGAGUGUUUGCAGGCAAUAUAUAUUUUGUGUCUGCUCCUCUGAAAUGCAUUAGCGGAGAUGAUCGAUCCUUCUUUAGAAAGGCUUUGAUCUUUCAUGUGGUGUGAUAGAUAUAUUUUCUUACCACCAAUAUGUGGAGGAUUUUAGUUCGGAAGGAUGUUUUGCUUCGCUUCUACAACUGUCUUGUUUUUAAAGACUGAACUUGUAAAAGUUCAUUAUCUGGUAUUUGAUCUCAAAUCAGGUAGGAUUACCCGCUGAACUUAA
RNAcentral lists this unclassified non-coding RNA (367 nucleotides) under uncultured fungus. Its description in RNAcentral is "sequence contains ITS2". Lineage: Eukaryota; Fungi. The record is from RNAcentral.